GUAAAAAUCUUAAAAUUCGGGUGAUCGGCUGUCCAAAAACCAUUGAUGGUGACUUGAAGUGCAAAGAGAUUCCCACAAGCUUUGGAUUUGAUACAGUGUGCAGGAUAUAUGCUGAAAUGAUUGGAAAUGUUAUGAUAGAUGCCGGUCAACUGGAAAAUAUUAUCAUUUUGUACAGCUUACGGGGUGUGCCACUUCACAUAUUACUCUUGAGUGUGCAUUGCAAACUCAACCAAACAUUACCAUUAUUGGAGAAGAGGUAACUUUUUGUGUUCUCGCAAAACUAAAUGACUUGCUUGGUUAAGAUUCUCAUGUUUUUAAUAAACUUCUUGCAGCUCUAGCAUUAUGACAUUUUCUUUAUCUUUAUGAACAAUUAGUGGAAUUAUGUAUCUCUGGCACAACCGUGAUAAGUUUUUUGGACUUUAUCUUCCUAUCCCCAGUCACUGAGAAAAUCAAGUGAAAAGCUCGUUUCUUGGCCACUGUUUGAAGCAAUAGAACACAUGCACACUGGCAUCACUUUCCAUGGAUAUUCCAUUGUGUUUCUAUUGAAUGAAAAUGCAUAACAGGUCAAAUAUAUUCAGAGAUACUUCAUAGAUUUAAGCACCUGACAUUUUUAAACAAUUUAGCAAAUGUAAGAAAGAUCUGUAGUUUAUGA
This is a long non-coding RNA of Mangifera indica (mango), 652 nucleotides long. RefSeq lists it as uncharacterized. The transcript has 3 exons. Lineage: Eukaryota; Viridiplantae; Streptophyta; Magnoliopsida; Sapindales; Anacardiaceae. The record is from RefSeq and is a predicted model, not a curated record.